Molecule: small RNA, 449 nt
Filed under: Pongo abelii (Sumatran orangutan)
Lineage: Eukaryota; Metazoa; Chordata; Mammalia; Primates; Hominidae
Description: processed transcript
Source: RNAcentral
GUUCUUUGAAGGAAAAACAUCACCAUUUUACUGAAGAAAGACUAUGGAAAAUAUUUAUACAGCUAUGCUUAGCUCUUCGAUACUUACACAAGGAGAAGAGGAUUGUCCAUAGAGAUCUUACACCAAACAACAUUAUGUUGGGGGAUAAGGACAAAGUAACAGUUAGUCUUGCUCCUGCAUUUAUUUGCAGCCUUUGAAACCAUACAAGGAAACAGACUCCGACUCAGUGGUACAUGGGGUGAAACACAGUCAACAUUUGCCCUAAAUACUGUCACCUGCCAAAUAAGGUCCAUAUUGAGCCAUCACAUUACAAAAUGACUCUUAAGGGAAUUUGGUAAAACUGAACUUACCCUUGAACCCACCAUUCCAGAUAUCUUGACCUUUUCAAAAACCCUUAUUUUAGUGUAAACCUUCCAUGUCCCCUUGCCUCCUCUGCUUUCAAAUAAAAA